UUGACCUCGGAUCAGGUAGGGAUACCCGCUGAACUUAAGCAUAUCAAUAAGGCGGGAAGAAA
Molecule: ribosomal RNA, 62 nt
Filed under: Bipolaris zeicola
Lineage: Eukaryota; Fungi; Ascomycota; Dothideomycetes; Pleosporales; Pleosporaceae
Description: partial 28S ribosomal RNA
Source: RNAcentral